This 481-nucleotide ribosomal RNA is filed under the name uncultured bacterium. RNAcentral's name for it is "bacterial SSU rRNA". It matches the Rfam family "Bacterial small subunit ribosomal RNA", at positions 21 to 518 of the family's 1533-position model. The record is from RNAcentral.
GGCUCAGGACGAACGCUGGCGGCGUGCUUAACACAUGCAAGUCGAGCGAUGAAGCUCUUCGGAAGUGGAUUAGCGGCGGACGGGUGAGUAACACGUGGGUAACCUGCCUCAUAGAGGGGAAUAGCCUUCCGAAAGGAAGAUUAAUACCGCAUAAGAUUGUAAUAUCGCAUGAUAUAGCAAUUAAAGGAGCAAUCCGCUAUGAGAUGGACCCCGCGUCGCAUUAGCUAGUUGGUGAGGUAACGGCUCACCAAGGCGACGAUGCGUAGCCGACCUGAGAGGGUGAUCGGCCACAUUGGGACUGAGACACGGCCCAGACUCCUACGGGAGGCAGCAGUGGGGAAUAUUGCACAAUGGGGGAAACCCUGAUGCAGCCAACGCCGCGUGAGUGAUGACGGUCUUCGGAUUGUAAAGCUCUGUCUUCAGGGACGAUAAUGACGGUACCUGAGGAGGAAGCCACGGCUAACUACGUGCCAGCAGCCGC